GACGAACGCUGGCGGCGUGCUUAACACAUGCAAGUCGAACGAAGAGCGAUGGAAGCUUGCUUCUAUCAAUCUUAGUGGCGAACGGGUGAGUAACGCGUAAUCAACCUGCCCUUCAGAGGGGGACAACAGUUGGAAACGACUGCUAAUACCGCAUACGAUCUAAUCUCGGCAUCGAGGAUAGAUGAAAGGUGGCCUCUACAUGUAAGCUAUCACUGAAGGAGGGGAUUGCGUCUGAUUAGCUAGUUGGAGGGGUAACGGCCCACCAAGGCGAUGAUCAGUAGCCGGUCUGAGAGGAUGGACGGCCAAAUUGGGACUGAGACACGGCCCAGACUCCUACGGGAGGCAGCAGUGGGGAAUCUUCCGCAAUGGACGAAAGGCUGACGGAGCAACGCCGCGUGAGUGAUGACGGCCUUCGGGUUGGAAAGCUCUGUUAAUCGGGACGAAAGGCCUUCUUGCGAAUAGUGAGAAGGAUUGACGGUACCGGAAUAGAAAGCCACGGCUAACUACGUG
This 510-nucleotide ribosomal RNA is filed under the name uncultured bacterium. Its description in RNAcentral is "partial 16S ribosomal RNA". It matches the Rfam family "Bacterial small subunit ribosomal RNA", at positions 28 to 507 of the family's 1533-position model. The record is from RNAcentral.